Molecule: ribosomal RNA, 900 nt
Filed under: uncultured Arcobacter sp.
Lineage: Bacteria; Pseudomonadati; Campylobacterota; Epsilonproteobacteria; Campylobacterales; Arcobacteraceae
Description: bacterial SSU rRNA
Rfam family: Bacterial small subunit ribosomal RNA
Source: RNAcentral
GUCCCAGCAGCCGCGGNAAUACGGGGGGUGCAAGCGUUACUCGGAAUCACUGGCCUUAAAGAGCAUGUAGGCGGAUUGAUAAGUUUGAAGUGAAAUCCUAUAGCUUAACUAUAGAACUGCUUUGAAAACUGUUAAUCUAGAAUGUGGGAGAGGUAGAUGGAAUUUCUGGUGUAGGGGUAAAAUCCGUAGAGAUCAGAAGGAAUACCGAUUGCGAAGGCGAUCUACUGGAACAUUAUUGACGCUGAGAUGCGAAAGCGUGGGGAGCAAACAGGAUUAGAUACCCUGGUAGUCCACGCCCUAAACGAUGUACACUAGCUGUUGUGAGACUAGAUCUUGCAGUAAUGCAGUUAACACAUUAAGUGUANCGCCUGGGGAGUACGGUCGCAAGAUUAAAACUCAAAGGAAUAGACGGGGACCCGCACAAGCGGUGGAGCAUGUGGUUUAAUUCGACGAUACACGAAGAACCUUACCUGGACUUGACAUAGUAAGAAUGAUUUAGAGAUAGAUUAGUGUCUGCUUGCAGAAACUUGCAUACAGGCGCUGCACGGCUGUCGUCAGCUCGUGUCGUGAGAUGUUGGGUUAAGUCCCGCAACGAGCGCAACCCUCGUCCUUAGUUGCUAACAGUUCGGCUGAGAACUCUAAGGAGACUGCCUACGCAAGUAGGAGGAAGGUGAGGAUGACGUCAAGUCAUCAUGGCCCUUACGUCCAGGGCUACACACGUGCUACAAUGGGGUAUACAAAGAGCGGCUAUACAGUGAUGUGGAGCAAAUCUUAUAAAAUACCUCCCAGUUCGGAUUGUAGUCUGCAACUCGACUACAUGAAGUUGGAAUCGCUAGUAAUCGUAGAUCAGCUAUGCUACGGUGAAUACGUUCCCGGGUCUUGUACUCACCGCCCGUCACA